AACGAACGCUGGCGGCAUGCCUAACACAUGCAAGUCGAACGAGACCUUCGGGUCUAGUGGCGAACGGGUACGUAACACGUGGGAACCUGCCCUUAGGUUCGGAAUACCUCAGAGAAAUUUGAGCUAAUACCGGUUGAUGUCUUCGGACCAAAGAUCUCUGGCCUUUAGAUGGGCCCGCGUUGGUUUAGCUAGUUGGUGGUGUAAAGGCCUACCAAGGCGACGAUCCAUAGCUGGUCUGAGAGGAUGAUCAGCCACACUGGCCCUGAGACACGGCCCAGACCGCUAGGGGAGAGAGCAGUGGGGAGUAUUGGACGAUGAGCGAAAGCGUGGUCCAGCCAUGCGGCGUGAGUGAUGAAGGCCUUAGGGUUGUAAAGCUCUUUUACCCGAGAUGUUAAUGACAGUAUCGGGAGAAUAAGCUCCGGCUAACUCCGUG
Molecule: ribosomal RNA, 433 nt
Filed under: uncultured bacterium
Lineage: Bacteria
Description: partial 16S ribosomal RNA
Rfam family: Bacterial small subunit ribosomal RNA
Source: RNAcentral